This is a long non-coding RNA of Musa acuminata AAA Group (dessert banana), 605 nucleotides long. RefSeq lists it as uncharacterized. The transcript has 3 exons. NCBI's taxonomy places the organism in Eukaryota, Viridiplantae, Streptophyta, Magnoliopsida, Zingiberales, Musaceae. The record is from RefSeq and is a predicted model, not a curated record.
AUCAUCCCCUUCUCACGGUGAAAGAAGAACCCCUUUUGUAACCUCUUCGGCGCCCUUCCCAGACCGAUCUCGGCGCUCAAAAUCUCGAUCGGUGUGCGAGGGAUCGUUUUCUUCGAUUUAGAUAUCUUAUUCUGUUCCUCCAGCAGCUGUGGUGGCAAUGGUGACUUCUCCCAACCAUCCAGAGCCAACAUUCACUUGCCUCCCACAAGCACCAGUAGUCCCAUUCCAUAGAUUGGUUCAUGAUAGAUCCAUUGCCAGGCCAUAUCUCAGCAGCCACACUCCUCUGACUUCCACCGCAGAUCUCUUGUGACUUGAAUGGCCUCGCGACAAAGCCAUGGAUGAGCGCGUGAUCGUGUGGGGCAGUGCACCGAAGGAAGUCGAAGGCAUCGUAAAGAACUGAAACGAGGAUCUCGAUGGGGGAGUCAUGGAGCCACAGGUUUGCUAACCUAACCCUAGCAUUUCUCCACGGAAGAGGAGAAUGGCUGUCGUCUAUUUGGCUCGAAAUAUCUGCUCCAUCGUUGUUCGUUAUCCUCUCGAAGAGAAACACCAUAGACAGGUUUGCUAGCUUCUUCUCUUCGAUUAAAGUUAGUCUCUCUCUCUCUCUC